AUUUCUUUAAUAUAUAAUUAAAUUUAAAUUUUAUUAAUCGAAAUAAUUUAACGUUUAGUAAAAUGACGAUUGUUUAAAAUGUAAAAUGAUUAUUCGCGAAAAGUAGUGCGUGGGUGAACGAUUGAUUUAAAUUAACUUAAAUACGCCGUGUUAAAUGCGUGCUUAAAUUUAAUAGAUCGCCUAGAUGUAACGAAUAAUUAGGCAUGAAUGAAGAUGCGGGUUGAACGCCAUUCAUAGAUUGUAAAAACUUUGAAUUUCAAACUGAAUGCGUGGGGGGCUUUCGUUGCGUUUGAUUCGCCACCCUAUACGUUUCAGUCUAUAGUUAAUUUGUUGCAGCAUAAGAGCGCUUGGUCUGUAAUUUUUCGCGUGUCAUGUUAGUUUUUGCUAGUCAAUUUUCGAACGAACCUUAAAUUAGGGGCCGCGUGGCCUAUUUUAUCCCCCUUUCUGCUUCCCAGUUCUCCACACCGUUGCUUGUAUUCUUGUCCUUGCUAGAGUAACGUCUUUCUGCUAGUUUGACGUUCAUUAGAUAAGCAAGUUUGUUUCGUGUACGAGUUCAGUUUAUUUCUCAACUAUCAUAUCACUCGACGUCACAGUUGAUUUUUUCAUCUGUAUGCCUUGCGUACGCUCUCAUCCUUUCAAAUUUUCCAUGAGAUGUAUUAUACCCGGAUAUUCGUGGAAAAGAGAUAAAUAUGUUUCUAUAGUCUUCCUGCAGCUGUUGGUAAUGCAAAUACCCUUCCUUAAUUUGAAAUCUGCAAGAUGGUAUUUGUCUUCAAGCUCUAAUUUUAGCUGAGAGUAGAAUGUGAACGAUGAUAGGACAUUUGCGAGUGGCACAUAGCAUUCGAUUUAAUAUCUUUUAUGAAUAAAGUAAGAAGAAAUUGAUUUAGUUUGGUGGUGAUGCUGGGAUGUGGAUCUGUUUUGAUCCUAUAGGAAGCCGAGAAGGCUGGCGUGCUUCUAUUUUAUUCCUUGUAUUCUUCUCUGGGACGUAUUUUGGUAUUGAUGCCAGUUUAACAAAUGCAGCUGCAUCUAAUGUUCCUCAUAAUACUGUUGCGUCAGAAGUAUCACUACCAAUUUCGACACAUCAUGAAAACGACGAAUGUAGGAAUGUGACCACUGAUAAUAGAGCGGCUACUGGUCUCUCAGUGGUCAGUCAAGGAUCUGGUUCUCCACAUUCGCCGAUAGUGCCUCCAACUUUUCUGUACGGAGUUCUUACCUGCCAACCUUAUCAAGGAAUUUCUGUGAACCACAUCUACUUUCAACUAGCAAAUGCCUUCUUUCUAUUGUCACACCUUGCUCCAAGUGGCAUACAUGGUGUACUCUAUUUAAGGUGCACUCUACUCGUGGGCUGUGCCUUUCUUGCUUUGUGGGGCUGGACAAUAGCUUGCUGGCUGGACGCUGCUCUCUGGAAUGCUCUAUUUGUUGCCAUCAACUUCGUCCAUGUAUGCACGCUUCUUUACAAGCUCAGGCCUAUCAAGUUUUCAAGGGAAGUUGAAGAGGUAUAUAUUGCAGUGUUCCAGCCAUUAAGGGUAUCACGUCAACAGUUUAAAAAAGUAUUAAAUUGUAUGAAGGUUAUACGACAGUUGAAAUAUCAAGAAGUUUAUGCCCAAGAAAAAGUGACAAAAGUUGAUUCUUUAUCUUUGGUACUUUCUGGAAAAUUAGUAGUAUCACAAAAUGGAAGAGCAUUGCACAUUGUCUUCCCACAUCAGUUCCUGGAUUCUCCAGAAUGGUUUGGUGUCUCCACGGACGAAUACUUUCAGGUAUCAAUAACAGCUAUGGAAGAAUCAAGAAUAUUAUUAUGGCAUAGAGACAAGUUAAAGUUAAGCAUAAUUAGUGAUCAAUUUCUGCAGGCAGUGUUUGAUCAUAUUUUGGGAAGGGAUGUAGUCAAAAAAUUGAUGCAGGUAUAUGUCAGUGAAACAAUGGCUGCUAGUAGUCAUCAACAACAAAAUGGCCAAGUAAUUGGUUUAGGUGGUAUUGGAACCUUAGAAAAUGAUCCUGACACCAAACUUUUCGUUGUGAAAAAGACUGGUGACAGUCAAAGUAUUACCGCUCUCAUCAGUCGUCAACUUCAAGAAGAGAGAAUGCCGCUGCUGUACACGACUCAGGAAGUGCUGAACAACACUUUGCAUCAUAUCAAUCACCUACGUACACUUCCCUUAGAUCCUGUGCAACACAAUAAUGUUCAGUCUUCCUUAUAAUAUUCCUGUGACACAGGCUGUGCAAUUACCUUAGCACAAAUUUGUACGUGAUGUAUAUGUAUUAUGUUUCUACACAACGGAUAUCCAUAUGUUAUACAAAUAUCAUCGGGUAACUUCAUUUGUUAUUUUCUUCUGGUUAUUGUAUUCAGCAGCUGGAGAUCCAAAUGCAUGGAGAUUGGGAAGAAUUGAAGAGACUGAUCAUGAAACUCCUGUUUAAUGAAAAAUGAUUGUUAGAUGAGUGUCAUCCUCGACAGUCAAUAUGAAAAAAAAACAACAACGGUCUUUUUACAUAACGAUGAAAUGUAUUCUCAACAUCAUUGAAAACAUGGCAUGGUAUGCUAUGCGUGGAACAAUUGAACAUUCUCUUGCCAAUUAAUAAUUUCUCCCGUAACUAGUCAAGUAUUAUUAAUAAUGGACAAAAAAAGGACAUUUCAUCGUUUAUAGCAUAAUGGUUCCAUCUUAGUUUAUAAAAAUGACGGAAAAAUGUUACUUUAUGCUUCCAAUGUAUUAUCGAAUACCACCAAACUGAUUCAAGAGUGGCUAUUUCUAAUUUACACUAAUUUUCCUCUCGACAUGUGUAUGUUUAGUACCAAAACGAACAAGACUUUACGUAUGUAAUAGAAUGAAAGUUGUUCGAUCGCAACGGCGUAACUUCUUUACUGAAAGAUCUGUGAUUUACUGGAAGUAUAUGGUAUAUAAAAAAAAACGAGAAAAAUUAGGGAGGCCUAAAUACCUGAUUGUUUCCCAUACCCAGAUAUAGUGCCUUUUUACUUGCAUUUCAUUUAUUCAUUUUUUAAGGAAAUUAUAUAUACAAUAUUACUGUGCACUAAUUUACAUGUUCAUUCAAUAUCUUUUAAGAAAGUGGCCGACGGUAACUCACGUAUACACCUCCAGUAAAUGAUUUCCUUCGCACUUUCUAGAAUGGGACCAUUUAAACUGGUCUUUAUUUUAGAAUAAUUGACAAACAUAUUUAUUUACCCAUUGUACAUUUUGAGUGAUGUUGUUAUUGAUAUAAUUAUCAAAGAAUGUUUACUUUACGUACAUUAUUACAUUAAUUUGCUUAAUGAUUUGUCCAUUAUUGAACGUGUACAUUGAGAUAAUACAUUACUGCUCGUUGAAGUACCUAAUGUAUCGACAGUUCCCGUCGGCAACUGGUCGUUUUUGCCAUCAAAACUAUUUAAAGAUAGUUAAAAACUGUUUGCAAAUAGUUUUGGAGGAAUUAUUGCGCAAAUCAUAAUGAUAUUUCAUAAUGCCAUUGGGUAAUGGCGUUCAGAAUAGAGAAUGAAACAGGAAGUUACGCCAAAAAGCGCAGAAUGAUAAUAAAGAAUAUAAAAAAAAAAUAAACAAUUGCAACGUAAGCUACAUUGAUGGAAUAUUUAUAUUGAUAUACAUUGCAGGAUAGAGAAAUAAAAAUGCAUAUAACUUUUAACGGUUAAUGAUGUAAAAUUAUCGAGGAUCGUUACAAUAAUAUUAUAGUCACGAUUAUCAUUCCUUUCGUUUGGGAAACGAUGUUAGCGUUACUUCUAAUUUUACUUACCAGCAGUAAUUAUGAUUAGAAUCGAUUAUAAUUAUAAGUGAUACGAGCAAAAAGAAAAUCAAUACACGCACAGUGAAAUUGAACGUUUCGCGUGUGAAAUUUCUAGGCAAAUUUUCAUUUUCUUGAAAAAACGAAAAACGAAAAGAGAGAGAAUAUAUGGAACAUAAUUUUUUUGGUAAUUUAUGAUUUACUUGGAAUGGAAAUAGUGAAAGUAUUACGUACUGAAAUUUAAUAUAAAAAUCUCAGGUUUCGAUGAUUGGAUACAGUUUUAGGAAAAGAAACUAUAAUGGAACAAAGAAAAUCUUUGAAGACAAGUUUUGUCUAGUCUUUAGCAGAAUGCAUUAAAGAAAUUUAAAAUGUUGCUAAUUAUCUAAUUCAUGCCCAGUUAAGGUUGUAAUAUGUACUAUUAAGAAGACUUUUUAUAUGUAAAAUUAUAGUUCUGAGAAUAUUGUAUUCCAAAUAUUAUAACUAGUUUAAAAGUUGGAUAAUAAUUAUUCUAUCAUAUGUGUAAGGGGUAUUCUUACAAUUUUUCGUUUUUCUUUCUAAUUAUAUAAGAAUACGUUGAUUUAUCUACUUUAUUGGAUAAUCAUACUGUUUUCCUAUACACUGCAAAAUUAUGGGGAAAAAGAACCGAGGAUCAUGUGAUUUUAUUUUACUCUACUAAUACCGUACGUAUGUAUGUAUGAAGGACGUGUAAAUGGUUUGUUCGAUGAAUGUAAAUUAUCCGUUAGUAAUCUUUGUUUUUUUAUUGUUUCUCAUUGUUAUAAUCAUAUACGGUGUCUUUUUAGUAUAAUAGUUAGAUAACACAAAGAGAUAUGGAUGAAGUGAAAGAAAUUUAAUCAUAUUGAAUACAAUGAUGAAAAAUUUAACGAGAA
This is a non-coding RNA of Nomia melanderi (Alkali bee), 4604 nucleotides long. Lineage: Eukaryota; Metazoa; Arthropoda; Insecta; Hymenoptera; Halictidae. The record is from RefSeq and is a predicted model, not a curated record.